This 72-nucleotide transfer RNA is filed under the name Bos taurus (domestic cattle). It matches the Rfam family "tRNA". From Rfam's summary of the family: Transfer RNA (tRNA) molecules are approximately 80 nucleotides in length. Their secondary structure includes four short double-helical elements and three loops (D, anti-codon, and T loops). Further hydrogen bonds mediate the characteristic L-shaped molecular structure. tRNAs have two regions of fundamental functional importance: the anti-codon, which is responsible for specific mRNA codon recognition, and the 3' end, to which the tRNAs corresponding amino acid is attached (by aminoacyl-tRNA synthetases). tRNAs cope with the degeneracy of the genetic code in two manners: having more than one tRNA (with a specific anti-codon) for a particular amino acid; and 'wobble' base-pairing, i.e. permitting non-standard base-pairing at the 3rd anti-codon position. RNAcentral also lists the same sequence under 2 other names. The record is from Rfam by way of RNAcentral. Lineage: Eukaryota; Metazoa; Chordata; Mammalia; Artiodactyla; Bovidae.
UCCCUGGCUGUCCAGUGGUUAGGACUCAGCAUUUCCACUGCCAGAGUCCAGGUUCAAUCCCUGGUGGGGGAA